This 76-nucleotide microRNA precursor is filed under the name Anopheles maculatus. Its description in RNAcentral is "mir-1 microRNA precursor family". It matches the Rfam family "mir-1 microRNA precursor family". Rfam says of the family: This family represents the microRNA (miRNA) mir-1 family. miRNAs are transcribed as ~70nt precursors (modelled here) and subsequently processed by the Dicer enzyme to give a ~22nt product. In this case the mature sequence comes from the 3' arm of the precursor. The extents of the hairpin precursors are not generally known and are estimated based on hairpin prediction. Lineage: Eukaryota; Metazoa; Arthropoda; Insecta; Diptera; Culicidae. The record is from RNAcentral.
AGUUCAGUUACAUCCUUGAUUAAACUCUAUAUAAUUCUCAAAUUAUAUAGAGUUUAAUCAAGGAUGUAACUGCCCG